RNAcentral lists this ribosomal RNA (394 nucleotides) under uncultured bacterium. RNAcentral's name for it is "bacterial SSU rRNA". It matches the Rfam family "Bacterial small subunit ribosomal RNA", at positions 209 to 636 of the family's 1533-position model. The record is from RNAcentral.
AAAGCGAUGCUAGAAGAUGGGCCCGCGUCCCAUUAGCUAGUUGGUGAGGUAACGGCACCAAGGCGACGAUGGGUAGCCGACCUGAGAGGGUGAACGGCCACACUGACUGAGACACGGCCCAGACUCCUACGGGAGGCAGCAGUAGGGAAUUUGGCAAUGGGCGAAAGCCUGACCGAGCAACGCCGCGUGAGGGAAGAAGGUUCGGAUCGUAAACCUUUGUCUUUAGGGACGAUAAUGACGGACCUAAGGAGGAAGCCACGGCUAACUACGUGCCAGCAGCCGCGGUAACGUAGGUGGCAAGCGUUGUCCGGAAUUACUGGGCGUAAAGGGCGUGUACGGUCUUUUAAGUCAGGCGUGAAAACUAUGGGCUUAACCCGAUAGAUUGUGAGACUGA